Molecule: long non-coding RNA, 804 nt
Organism: Nasonia vitripennis (jewel wasp)
Lineage: Eukaryota; Metazoa; Arthropoda; Insecta; Hymenoptera; Pteromalidae
Exons: 2
Source: RefSeq, a predicted model, not a curated record
GAAAUAUUUCUAAAUUAUUUCAUUGGGAUUUGUCAGAAAUGUGAUCUUGGAAGCAAUUGAUUAAUAUCAAUUAUCGUCGAUAAUCACAGUUAUGGAUUCAGUUUAUAAAAUAUAAUAUAUUUUUUCAUAAAAGCUUAUUUUGUAUUUGUUAGAACCACCUUAAUCAUGUUAUAUAAACAUGUGAAAAUCAAAAUAAACCUUUGUUUGUAAUCUACUAUACAUAUUGUCUCGAAAUCGAAUGAAGUUUGUGUUCAUUUAACUUUGCUUACCUAUAUUCAAUAGAUAACCAUAAAAACUGUUAACUCAUACUCACGAAAAAAGUCAUUAUUUGUGUUAUAGGUAUAAUAUAUACAUUAAUUUACAUUUAUUCAUACGUUGCUAAAAUACGUAUUUCGAAUAAUGAACUAUUUACCUAAAACGUUGGAAGAUGUCCGAAAAAUGAUGAAUUCGACAGAAAAUUUACGACAAAAACUUGAAAAACAAGAAAGAAAACUUUUGCUGGAUGAAAGAAAUAAGAGAUUUACUGAAUUAGAAGAAGACGAAUGCAUUAUCAAUUACGAAAUCGAAAAUGUAGAUAAAAAGUCCAGAGAGCUUCAAAAACAGAUGCAAAAUCUAAACGAAGAAAUAUUAAAAUUGCUUAUCAAAUUAGAUGGUAUAAGAAAUAGCCAAUUUACAAUCGCAAAAUGAAGAAAAUGGAACUUAUCCAAAAAAAGAUUAUGUACAAGAAAAGACGUAUCCUUCUUAUAAUUACAAACAGAAGUUUUCUAAUAGAAGAAACAACUACAACUAUAAAAAUAAUUACAA